AUCUAUGUCUCUUUAUAAAUACAACUUGUAAUCUCCGGAUUCUCAACAAAUCUAAUCCCCUCUUUCCUAACUUUCUUCUUCGUCUUCAAAGUGUUUUUGAAGAAAAACGUGAUGAGACUCUCAAGGUUGAAAACAACAUCAGUUUGGUGCAAGAUCAAGUAUUUGUUUGUGGGGAUGUCGCUGCGGUUAUUGGAGCCAUGGCCAAAUAUAAUACCACAAGAAAAGAGGUAGCAAGAAAGAAACCUGAAGAAAUGUGCACUCUAGGCAAGUCUGAUGCUUGGCUUUAAUUUCAUCGAUCGAUCUAUGUUGUAAAACAAGGAGGAGGAUUAUAUGAUUUUCUGUUUUAUUACAAUGUCUUUCAAUUCGACCAACCCCUCCCCUCUCCUUGGACAUAGAUAGAUAGAUGUGUUAUGUUGUUUUCUCUUUCUAUUAUGUAUAUGCAGCACUGCAGCUGCAUUUAUUUUAAUUUUUAACUUGUAUGAAGUUCUUUUGUUUCAUUUUUUCUCUUCUUACUUGUUGUUCAACAUGAAAUAGAACAAUAAAAAUAAUUAAGCUACUACUGCUUUCUGUUAAUAAAUUAAGCAAAAACAUGCUGGAUUCAUCAUAUAGGCUCAUAGUUGGGGGUAGUGAGAGCAUAAUUAAUGUUCUGUGGGGUUCAUCUUACUUCUCAACUAGCUAGGUGUGGUUGUGGUAUUAAUUAUUUAUCCUCACAAAAUACUAGCUAUAUAUAGCUAGCAUUUUUCACAGCAAAUUGGCAAUUAAUACUAAUUAAAUAACUAGGUUGCCAAACAAAUCGGUUUCAUAAGGAGAGUUGUUAUUUGUUAACAAACAUAUGUUUGCGAUGAAAAUGAUGGGGAUUCAUUCAGUGACUUAUGGAUAAAGAUUAGUUUUGGCUUAGUCGUCCUAUAGUUCUCCUAAAUUCUGUCGUUGACCGAUCACUAUAUAGCAUAUAUAGAGGUCUUUUCAGGUGUAAAGGCGAAACAGUUUGGCUUAAUUGUGUACAAAUCAGUUUGCUCUACUGGGUUUGGUUGCUUUCGAUCAAGACUGAAGUUUUUUUUAUGUGUGUUGGGUAUCGGAUUUGAUAAAUUUGAGGUGUUAGACUCGGUUCGCUAUUAUUAG
This 1119-nucleotide long non-coding RNA is filed under the name Glycine max (soybean). RNAcentral's name for it is "long non-coding RNA (GMAX_LNC000704)". The record is from RNAcentral. Lineage: Eukaryota; Viridiplantae; Streptophyta; Magnoliopsida; Fabales; Fabaceae.